AUGACUCCUACUGCAUCUGUACAGCUGUAUCAUCCACAGCCUGUGGGAGAAUGUGUGCUUCAGUUGUGAAGCACAAGUUCCAAAAAAAGAGAGCCAGCUUAUGUGCUGUGGGUCUGUAAGGGGUCUCUGAGCCAGCCAGUCACCUUCCCUGGAGCUUCCUAUCAGUCAGAGAGGCCAAGGUCUUCACCUGCCUGUUACCUUACCUUUUAGAGUACCAAGUGCAUACCAACUCACAUGGAAAUCCAGAAAACCUGGCCUGAUUUUUUGAAGCACCACUGUGUUUUACCCUUCCAUUUGAUGAUGAGCAGUGUUGUUCUGAGGUAGACAGAGCAUCUUGUCUCCUGGAAGAGAAGUCAGGAAACAGCUGAAACCUCUUUUUUGCCAGUACUGCAACCAAGAAAGUAAAUUUCUCUUUUUCAGGGGUCAGGUCAUAUCAAUCAAGUCAUAGCAAUGGCUCUGGUUCUUCAGUGUCAUCUCUGGCUGCUUAUGUAGUUUCUCCUGCCUCAGUCACAACAGAGGCUUUCUAAUAAACCCUGUGAAGCCCUCUGUGCCAUGCUGGUUACGCAUUUCAGUGAGCUCACAGAGGUCCAGGUUUUGCAUGAAGGCUUGAGCCUGUCGUUCAGUUUGCACCACGUUGUCUCUGGUCCUCGUGUUCUUGCUGAAACAUACCUAGGUGAAGUCCAGAAACACUUUCCAGCAUUACAUCAUCUUCCUGCAAUAAUAGUAAGGAUAAUUUUUUAUCAUCCCCAUUUGCUGCCAUUCUUGGGAUCAAAGCUCCUGUAAGCACCUGAAGGCUGUAUUACUCUGAUUUUCAGCCCGGGCAGAUGCAUUUGCAGGGUGGUUUCAGCAGGACUAGGCUAAAGAUCUUCUGCUUGCCAAAGUCUGCAGGUGCUGGAAUAGGACAAAGCACCAUUUCUGAAGGUUAUGAUGGGACUAUAAAGACUGUAAAGACCUGCAGAGAAUGAAUCAUCUGCGCAGCUUAUGCAUCCAUCCUGGGAUGAGAUGAAGCCCAUCUGCAAAUAGCUACUUCAGCUCCCUGAGUUUGGAUGCAUGUCAGAUGAUCCAUCAGACAUGAGGGAAAAGGUUUAUAAGCAAAUCUAAUGUUACAAACUUAGAGCUGUCACACUGGCAUAGCAAUCUAGGUUUUGGCUUUUCUAUUUUCUUUCUGUUUUUGAAAAAUCCAUCAGCUGUAAAUGUUGACUUCACUGAUGGGGGAAAAGAUGAAUGGGCCUCUCAGCUCUGGGAGAAAUCUGCCAGCCCUGGGAAACUUAACCUCAAUGCCCAAAAAACCCACCACCUCUUCAUGGAGGACAGGUACUACCUGGUAAGCUGAAAGCUGAAACAGUAUUAUAAUCAGGUUUGUGAUCUUGAGGUUUUUCUUAAAGUUGAUCCUUUUUCUUUUGAGAAAGCUGCACAUUUGUUGCACAUUCACAAAACUAAACCCCGGUUCCAUACUCGCAGCGCCCAGACAAGGCAGGCCUCGAUGAAGGCCAGGUUCAGCCAGGAGUGACGAUCAUCGCUGAAGUUCCUGGUGACAAGACAUGGCCUAGGUCAGCUUAGGAGGCCAUCCUGCAGAUGAGAGACCAGACCCACAGGUCUGUGGCCAGGAAUGGGCAUAGCUGUGGCUGAGCAGAACCACAGCACGGCUUAAACAGGAAAGGAGAAUCCAGGGCUGGGCUUAAAUGGAAGUGUUGGGUGUGACUAUGUUUAUAUGCAGCCAGGGCCUUGACAAGUCAGGAAACCUGGCUCACAGACCUCUUCUUGGGGACUGGACCAUACUGUUGAGUUAAUAAACCAGGAAACUUGAAAAUCAA
Long non-coding RNA from Vidua chalybeata, 1814 nucleotides. RefSeq lists it as uncharacterized. The record is from RefSeq and is a predicted model, not a curated record. The transcript has 2 exons. NCBI's taxonomy places the organism in Eukaryota, Metazoa, Chordata, Aves, Passeriformes, Viduidae.